AUGGCUCAGGAUGAACGCUAGCUACAGGCCUAACACGAUGCAAGUCGAGGGGUAGCGUGAGGGAAGCUUGCUUCCCUGACGACGACCGGCGAAUGGGUGAGUCACGCGUGUCCAACCUGCCCCGUGCCCGGGGAUAGCCCUUGGAAAUGAGGAUUAAGACCCGAUAUGUGGCGCUUCCGCAUGGCGGCGCCAUGAAGCAGGCACGGGAUGGGACGCGUCGGAUUAACUUGACGGCGGGGCAACGGCCCACCGUGGCGACGAUCCGCAGGGGUUCUGAGAGGAAGGUCCCCCACACUGGCACUGAGACACGGGCCAGACUCCUACGGGAGGCAGCAGUGAGGAAUAUUGGUCAAUGGGCGGGAGCCUGAACCAGCCCAAGUAGCGUGCAGGACGACGGCCCUACGGGUUGUAAACUGCUUUUCCGGGAGGAUAAAGUGAGCCACGCGUGGUUCAUUGCAGGUAUCCCGGGAAUAAGGACCGGCUAAUUCCGUGCCAGCCGCCGC
This 503-nucleotide ribosomal RNA is filed under the name uncultured bacterium. RNAcentral's name for it is "bacterial SSU rRNA". It matches the Rfam family "Bacterial small subunit ribosomal RNA", at positions 19 to 518 of the family's 1533-position model. The record is from RNAcentral.